UGGUGGAGUGAUUUGUCUGGUUAAUUCCGUUAACGAACGAGACCUUAACCUACUAAAUAGUCACAUGAUUUCCGAAUCAUGGAUGUACUUCUUAGAGGGACUGUUGGUGCUAAGCCAACGGAAGUUUGAGGCAAUAACA
This 139-nucleotide ribosomal RNA is filed under the name uncultured eukaryote. RNAcentral describes it as "partial 18S ribosomal RNA". It matches the Rfam family "Eukaryotic small subunit ribosomal RNA", at positions 1299 to 1458 of the family's 1831-position model. The record is from RNAcentral.